Molecule: ribosomal RNA, 292 nt
Filed under: uncultured Acidobacteriota bacterium
Lineage: Bacteria; Pseudomonadati; Acidobacteriota
Description: uncultured Acidobacteria bacterium partial 16S ribosomal RNA
Source: RNAcentral
GGACUACCCGGGUAUCUAAUCCCGUUUGCUCCCCCAGCUUUCGCGCCUCAGCGUCAAGAACAGGCCAGGAAGUCGCCUUCGCCACUGGUGUUCCUCCGGAUAUCUACGCAUUUCACCACUACACCCGGAAUUCCACUUCCCUCUCCUGCCUUCAAGUUGAUCAGUAUCGAAUGACCCUCCCCAGUUGAGCCGGGGGCUUUCACAUUCGACUUAAUCAACCGCCUGCGCGCUCUUUACGCCCAGUAAAUCCGGACAACGCUUGCCACCUACGUAUUACCGCGGCGGCUGGCAC